UGGGGAAUCUUGGACAAUGGGCGCAAGCCUGAUCCAGCCAUGCCGCGUGGAUGAUGAAGGCCUUAGGGUUGUAAAAUCCUUUCGUUGGGGACGAUAAUGACGGUACCCAAAGAAGAAGCUCCGGCUAACUUCGUGCCAGCAGCCGCGGUAAUACGAAGGGGGCUAGCGUUGUUCGGAUUUACUGGGCGUAAAGCGCGUGUAGGCGGAUUUGUAAGUUGGGGGUGAAAUCCCGAGGCUCAACCUCGGAACUGCCUCCAAAAACUACAAGUCUGGACCUAAGUAGAGGCAAGUGGAAUUGCGAGUGUAGAGGUGAAAUUCGUAGAUAUUCGCAGGAACACCAGUGGCGAAGGCGACUUGCUGGACUUAUGGUGACGCUGAGACGCGAAAGCGUGGGGAGCAAACAGGAUUAGAUACCCUAGUAGUCCCUGAGCGGGCUGGCAAGGCGCAU
RNAcentral lists this ribosomal RNA (448 nucleotides) under uncultured bacterium. RNAcentral's name for it is "bacterial SSU rRNA". It matches the Rfam family "Bacterial small subunit ribosomal RNA", at positions 355 to 825 of the family's 1533-position model. The record is from RNAcentral.